This 253-nucleotide ribosomal RNA is filed under the name uncultured bacterium. Its description in RNAcentral is "partial 16S ribosomal RNA". It matches the Rfam family "Bacterial small subunit ribosomal RNA", at positions 524 to 776 of the family's 1533-position model. The record is from RNAcentral.
UACGGGGGGAGCAAGCGUUGUUCGGAUUUAUUGGGCGUAAAGGGCUCGUAGGCGGCCUGUCGCGUCGGGAGUGAAAGCCCACUGCUUAACGGUGGGUCUGCUUCCGGUACGGGCGGGCUAGAGUAUGGCAGGGGAGACUGGAAUUCCUGGUGUAGCGGUGGAAUGCGCAGAUAUCAGGAGGAACACCGGUGGCGAAGGCGGGUCUCUGGGCCAUUACUGACGCUGAGGAGCGAAAGCGUGGGGAGCGAACAGG